CCUACGGGAGGCAGCAGUGGGGAAUUUUGGACAAUGGGCGAAAGCCUGAUCCAGCAAUGCCGCGUGAGUGAAGAAGGCCUUCGGGUUGUAAAGCUCUUUUGUCAGGGAAGAAACGGUGUGGGCUAAUAUCCUGCACUAAUGACGGUACCUGAAGAAUAAGCACCGGCUAACUACGUGCCAGCAGCCGCGGUAAUACGUAGGGUGCAAGCGUUAAUCGGAAUUACUGGGCGUAAAGCGUGCGCAGGCGGUUUUGUAAGUCUGUCGUGAAAUCCCCGGGCUCAACCUGGGAAUUGCGAUGGAGACUGCAAGGCUAGAAUCUGGCAGAGGGGGGUAGAAUUCCACGUGUAGCAGUGAAAUGCGUAGAGAUGUGGAGGAACACCGAUGGCGAAGGCAGCCCCCUGGGUCAAGAUUGACGCUCAUGCACGAAAGCGUGGGGAGCAAACAGGAUUAGAUACCCUGGUAGUCCACGCCCUAAACGAUGUCUACUAGUUGUCGGGUUUUAAUUAACUUGGUAACGCAGCUAACGCGUGAAGUAGACCGCCUGGGGAGUACGGUCGCAAGAUUAAAACNCAAAUGAAUUGACGG
This 585-nucleotide ribosomal RNA is filed under the name uncultured bacterium. Its description in RNAcentral is "bacterial SSU rRNA". It matches the Rfam family "Bacterial small subunit ribosomal RNA", at positions 338 to 916 of the family's 1533-position model. The record is from RNAcentral.